UACAGAGGCCUCGAGCGUUAGGCGGAAUCACUGGGCUUAAAGCGUGUGUAGGCGGAUGGCUAAGUACCUUGUGAAAUCCCACGGCUCACCCGUGGAACUGCUGGGUAUACUGGCUGUCUUGAGCCACUUAGGGGCUACCGGAACAAAUGGUGGAGCGGUGAAAUGCGUAGAUAUCAUUUGGAACGCCAAUGGUGAAAACAGGUAGCUGGGAGUGUGCUGACGCUGAGACACGAAAGCCAGGGGAGCGAACGGG
This 253-nucleotide ribosomal RNA is filed under the name uncultured bacterium. RNAcentral's name for it is "partial 16S ribosomal RNA". It matches the Rfam family "Bacterial small subunit ribosomal RNA", at positions 524 to 776 of the family's 1533-position model. The record is from RNAcentral.